GCGGGGGCUGCGCGGCCCGGGGCGCUGCGGGGCCGGCCCCGCUCCUGCGCUGCCGCGGCUCACGACUCUCGCGGGAAGAAGCCGGGCGCUGUUUCCGCCAGCAGGAAGGCUCCGCGGCGCCAGCCCUCCCGUUGCUGUAAGAAACGACCGGAUCCCGCCGCGGACGCAACCCCCGGAGCAGAAAGUUGUGGGCCUGCUCGCGGGCCUGAAGGCUGCAGACCCAUCGUCAGGCCUGGUACGAACCGGCUCCGGCUGCACUUCGCCCCUGCCUGCCACAGCCUCCAGCAGGUGCUGCAGCUGCCACGCCCUUCAGCUGCCUCACCAAGAGCUCCCACGCUCACUGCAGCCCUCGCUGAACUGCUCGAAGCCCCUGAAUAAUUCACUGUUGUUGAGAGAGACUGCAGGGCCAGCAAAUUUUGCCUCAAAUCCCAAGACACAGUCACCUUCUGGGCUACUGGUUGAGGAUGAUGGAGAACACUGUGCUGCCUAGGAAACACCUGAAACAGUAAGCUUGUGUUACUGUUUCUUGAUGCUCUUAAAAUUACAGAACAGGCAGUUUGACAGAAAAAACACAGUACUGGAGCGUGAACCGAGGACAUAAACUUACACUAACCUUCCAAAGUCUUAAUUCCUUCCUCAA
Long non-coding RNA from Apus apus (common swift), 640 nucleotides. RefSeq lists it as uncharacterized. Lineage: Eukaryota; Metazoa; Chordata; Aves; Apodiformes; Apodidae. The record is from RefSeq and is a predicted model, not a curated record. The transcript is spliced from 3 exons.